UUUUUAUUUUUUCUGGUCUGUUUGGAGCCUAUUUGCUGAGAAUUUAAAGAAGACAAGAACGACAACUUCAGAUUUUGAGAUGAGAAGCAGACAAAAACAAGGAAGUUAUCCUAGGAUGUAUCCUGUUGCAAGAAAAAGCCUGAUAACUGUGAUUUGGAAGUUUGUUGUAACUCCUGCAGAAGCUGGUCACCAUGUGUAUCUUCCCUGUAGUAGGUGUUUGAUCUGGAACUGAGAGAGAUUUUUUUAUUUUUAUUUUUUAAAUUUAAGAUAUAUACACAAAUACACAUAUAAUGAAGCCAUGUAUCUUUAAGUUUCUGCUCUUUUUCUUUAACGUUUGUUCCCGCUGUCCCCCCCCCCCCCCCCCCCCCCCCCAUGGGUUGUAGAAAAAACAAGAUUGAUUGGACUUUCACCAUCCA
Molecule: long non-coding RNA, 416 nt
Filed under: Coturnix japonica (Japanese quail)
Lineage: Eukaryota; Metazoa; Chordata; Aves; Galliformes; Phasianidae
Description: lncRNA (ENSCJPG00005000931.1)
Source: RNAcentral